This 562-nucleotide small RNA is filed under the name Pan troglodytes (chimpanzee). RNAcentral describes it as "processed transcript". Lineage: Eukaryota; Metazoa; Chordata; Mammalia; Primates; Hominidae. The record is from RNAcentral.
AAUCCUGCAACAAGAAGCCAGGUAUUCUGAAGGUGAAAGAUACCAGAGAUUCUCAAAGAUGCGAGUUUUCUGUGUGGGACUACUCCUUGUCAGUGUGACCUGGGCAGCACCAACAUUUCAACCACAGACUGAGAAAACUAAGCAAAGCUGUGUGGAAGAGCAGAGGGCUCCUCAAGCCUCUCUACUACAAAACUCUGGGUCCCAGAAUCUUCCUGAUCCCCAUCCCAUGCCUCGGCCCACAUCUCGCUCUGCUUCAGGACCUGUGGCUGCAGCAGGAAGAAAAAAACAAAGACAAUAUUGGUUUUCACCAUUUGGGCAAGAGAAUAAAUCAAGAGCUAUCGUCUAAAGAAAAUAUUGUCCAGGAAAGAAAGAAAGAUUUGUCCCUUUCUGAAGCCAGUGAGAAUAAGGGAAGUAGUAAAUCUCAAAAUUAUUUCACAAAUAGACAGGGACUGAAUAAAGAAUAUAGUAUCAGUAACAAAGAGAAUACUCACAAUGGCCUGAGGAUGUCAAUUUAUCCUAAGUCAACUGGGAAUAAAGGGUUUGAGGAUGGAGAUGAUGCUAU